GGCUCCCUGCCAUUCGUGUAUAGGGAGUCGGACCUGCCCAGUGAAAUAUUUUAACGGCCGCGGUACUCUGACCGUGCAAAGGUAGCAUAAUCACUUGCCUUAUAAUUGAAGGCUGGUAUGAAUGGUUUGACGAAAGCACAACUGUCUCUCUCUUGUUUUAUAGAAAUUAACAUUUAGGUGAAGAGGCCUAGUUAAGAUUGAAGGACGAGAAGACCCUGUCGAGCUUUAGGAAAAAAAGGAGAUCUCUAUAUUUAUAAAUACAUGGCCUUUCUUAUCCUUUAGUUGGGGCGACUGGGGAACAAUAGAAGCUUCCCUUUUUUAUUAAAUUUGUGUAUUAGGAUCCAGUAAAGAUUACUGAGUAAAAAAAUUAGUUACCGCAGGGAUAACAGCAUUAUCCUUCUUGAGAGACCAUAUCGAAAGAAGGGGUUGUGACCUCGAUGUUGGACUAGGAUAUCCUGACGGUGCAGAAGCCUUCGAGGGUUGGUCUGUUCGACCAUUAAAAUCCUACG
This 509-nucleotide ribosomal RNA is filed under the name Rhinoclavis vertagus. RNAcentral describes it as "partial 16S ribosomal RNA". It matches the Rfam family "Bacterial large subunit ribosomal RNA", at positions 1816 to 2600 of the family's 2925-position model. The record is from RNAcentral. Lineage: Eukaryota; Metazoa; Mollusca; Gastropoda; Cerithiidae.